AACCUACUCUUUAUCUUAUGAAGUUUCUGUGCGUCAGUUUUAAAAAUGCACACCUAAAAUGUUUCUGUAGCGUCGGAUCUUUUUACGGCCAUCGCUGAAAGUCUACUAUUUGCGGCCUCUCUUACCCGACGUACAAGCUGUUUGUAAAAACUAAAAAUAUAAUUAAACUAAAUUAAUAUUUUUACUUAGCUGUAACCCCCAACCAUCUUACUUUUAUGAUGCCCCGACUCCUCUCAAAACUCUUGCGUUCUCUGCACACAAGUCCGAUGGGUUCACUAAUCGAUUCACUGGGUUCUUGAUUUGUCACUACGCUUGAUGAUCUGGUGUAUCAUACUCUUGUUCGUUGAAGAAUAAUUAGAGGUUUUAUAAAGCAUCAGCCUCUUGGACAAUAUUUCAUAUUCAACAGGUCCACCUUUUGUUGUUUAAGCUGCCUGUAAAAGAGCAAAUAAUGCAACCUAGUAUCGACCGUUACUUCUGGAUCCAGGUUUUGUUCCAAUCCUGACUUGCAACUUUCAGAAUACAGAUUAGGGGAACGGGAAUCUAAUUUUCUAUCUGCAUAAAAGGACACGCUGUUAACAAAUCAAUUGAAGUAAAUGAAUGUCAGGGGAGUACAACAUCCAUGUUCCUGUCUGCAUUCUCCGGGUCUACUUUUACAGUUUUUAUAAAAGUUUAGACGGAUAGUUUCCGCAAGUUUAUGGUCAUCUUUUUGAUGUUAUGCAAACUUCUGGUGCACUUACAAACCUAUUUGUUGCAGCAGUCCUAGCACUACAUGUUUCAGGAAUGAAAGAUGACAGCUCAAUGCCUACUUUCUAUCCAAGGAUGUUAUCAUUUGGAAAAUAAAGAUCCCACAUAUUUCUACUUACAAGAGUUACCGUGCUUUCAAGUUUAUUUACAUGCUUUUUGAAGGAUAGAUCGAUGGACGUUUUAUCUUUGACAUUUUUGUUGAAGGUUCUUCACCGUUAUAAAUUUAGAAUGUUCGCAUGUAAGAAUGUUCUUUAGUUAUCACGUGUCUUUGUUGAAUUUAUAAAUUAUGUAAAAUUUUCUCCAAGUUUAAAUAAUAUGGAUUAUUAGCAUU
Molecule: long non-coding RNA, 1075 nt
Organism: Daucus carota subsp. sativus
Lineage: Eukaryota; Viridiplantae; Streptophyta; Magnoliopsida; Apiales; Apiaceae
Exons: 6
Source: RefSeq, a predicted model, not a curated record